CCUACGGGAGGCAGCAGUGAGGAAUAUUGGUCAAUGGGCUUACGCCUGAACCAGCCAAGUCGCGUGAGGGAAGACUGCCCUAUGGGUUGUAAACCUCUUUUGUCAGGGAGCAACGCCGGCUACGUGUAGCCGGACUGAGAGUACCUGAAGAAAAAGCAUCGGCUAACUCCGUGCCAGCAGCCGCGGUAAUCCGGGGGAUGCGAGCGUUAUCCGGAUUUAUUGGGUUUAAAGGGUGCGUAGGCGGAAUGCCAAGUCAGCGGUAAAAUCGCGGGGCUCAACCUCGCUCCGCCGUUGAAACUGCCUUGCUGGAAUGCGGAUGCCGUGGGAGGAAUGUGUGGUGUAGCGGUGAAAUGCAUAGAUAUCACACAGAACACCGAUUGCGAAGGCAUCUCACGAAUCCGCGAUUGACGCUGAUGCACGAAAGCGUGGGUAUCAAACAGGAUUAGAUACCCUUGUAGUC
RNAcentral lists this ribosomal RNA (460 nucleotides) under uncultured bacterium. Its description in RNAcentral is "partial 16S ribosomal RNA". It matches the Rfam family "Bacterial small subunit ribosomal RNA", at positions 338 to 795 of the family's 1533-position model. The record is from RNAcentral.